AUGCACAAAUGGAAAAGUCACAAAGAGAUCUUCUAUUUCCUGUUUUGGUGUAUUCCAAUGUACCAUGGCUGCUCCACCAUACAAAUAAGAUUGAGGGAGAGUGA
Molecule: non-coding RNA, 104 nt
Organism: Ceratotherium simum simum (southern white rhinoceros)
Lineage: Eukaryota; Metazoa; Chordata; Mammalia; Perissodactyla; Rhinocerotidae
Source: RefSeq, a predicted model, not a curated record